RNAcentral lists this ribosomal RNA (2685 nucleotides) under Zea mays subsp. mays (maize). RNAcentral's name for it is "bacterial LSU rRNA". It matches the Rfam family "Bacterial large subunit ribosomal RNA", at positions 3 to 2178 of the family's 2925-position model. Lineage: Eukaryota; Viridiplantae; Streptophyta; Magnoliopsida; Poales; Poaceae. The record is from RNAcentral.
UCAAGCUACAAAAGGUCUAUGUAAGGAUGACUAGGUUAGAUGAGGCGAUGAAGGACGGGGUAAGCACCGAAAUAUUCCGGGUAGCCGCAAACAUGCUUUGAUCCGGAAGUGUCCGAAUGGGGCAACCCAUCACGAGUAACGUCGUGAUAUCCCCGCGAUGAAUACAUAGUUGCGGGGAAGCGAUACCAGGGGAAUUGAAACAUCUAAGUACCCUGAGGAAAAGAAAUCACAGAGAUUCCCCCAGUAGCGGCGAGCGACAAGGGAACAGCCUAAACCUCCGUCUUGCUUCCGCAAGGAAGCAGCGGUGGGGUUGCGGGACCUUGAUAUGGGAUUGUAGAGGGAAAGCAGAAGCGCCUGGAAAGGCGCGCCGCAGAGAGUGAGAGCCUCGUAAGCGAAUUCCCAAAGCACCCUAAAGGUAUCCCAAGUACUACGGGACACGGGAAAUCCUGUAGGAAUCCGGGCCGACCACGGUCCAAGGCUAAACACUACAUCUAAACCGAUAGCGUACGAGUACCGUGAGGGAAAGUUGAAAAGAACCCCGGUGAGGGGAGUGAAAUAGAACCUGAAAUCAUAGACCUACAAGCGGUGGAAGGCCUAUACGCAUGCCGCAAGGCGUGCGGAUGGCUGACCGCGUACCUAUUGAAUAAUGGUCCGACGAGUUACUGUGCGGUGCGAGCUUAACCCUUUAAACGGGGGAAGGCGCAGCGAAAGCGAGUCCUAAUAGGGCGAUUCAGUACCGUAUAGUAGACCCGAAACUGAGUGAUCUACCCAUGGUCAGAGUGAAGCUUCCCGAAAGGGAAGUGGAAGUUCGAACCUAUCAGCGUUGAAAAGCUGCGGGAUGAACUGUGGGUCGGAGCGAAAGACUAAACAAACUCAGAAAUUGCUGGUUCUCCCCGAAACAAUUCUAGGGUUCGCCUCGGGUAAUAUAAAUAACAGGGGUAGAGUAAUGAAUGGGUUGCGGGGCCUUACCAGGCUGCUGGACCCAACCAAACUUCGAAUACUGUUAUUCUUAACCCGGGAGUAAGACGACGGGGGCCAAGCUCCGUCGUCUAAAGGGAAUCAGCCCAGAUCGCCAGCUAAGGUCCCUAAGAAUAGGCUAAGUGGUAAAGGAUGUGAACUCGCUCAGACAACCAGGAUGUUGGCUUAGAGGCAGCCUCCAUUUAAAGAGUGCGUAACAGCUCACUGGUCGAGCGAUUUUGCGCCUAAGAUGACCGGGGCUCAAGCCUAUUACCGAAGCUGCGGAUUUGAUUUGCCUUCGGGCAAAUCAAGUGGUAGGGGAGCGUAGUCCGACGAGAGAAGUCAUACCGUGAGGAGUGAUGGACGUCGGACUAGUGAUUAUGUCGGAAUGAGUAGCGAAAACGCCUGCGAGAAACAGGCGCACCGAAAGUCUAAGGUUUCCUGGGGAAGGUUAAUCCGCCCAGGGUUAGUCGGUCCUAAGCUGAGGCCGUUUGGCGUAAGCGAUGGAUAAUCCGUUAAUAUUCGGAUACCGGCUGGAUGGCGUUAAAACCGGUGACGUGACGCGGAAGGUUAGGGGCUGCGCAGUGUUGGAUGUCUGCGUUUCUGUACCCGCGAGGGUAUGGAGGGAUCCUGCGGUUUCCAAGGGAGAAGUGUUCUGAUACCAUGCCGCCAAGAAAAGCGUCAUCGGGAGUCGUCCGGUCGUCCGUACCGUAAUCCGACACAGGUAGACCUCCAGAGAAUGGUAAGGUGCUCGAGAUAACUCUCGUUAAGGAACUCGGCAAAAUAACCCCGUAACUUCGGGAUAAGGGGUGCCCCGGCCAGAAACGGUCGGGGUCUCAGUAAAGUGGCCCGGGUGACUGUUUAGUAAAAACACAGCACUCUGCAAACUCGAAAGAGGACGUAUAGGGUGUGAUACCUGCCCGGUGCUGGAAGGUUAAGGGAAUGGGUUAGUAAUCGUGAGAUUGCGAAGCUUUGAACCGAAGCCCCAGUGAACGGCGGCCGUGAAAAGGUCCAUAUUCGGCAGUAACAAGCCGAUUAUUUGUGUAAAGUUGCGGCUUUAAGGAGUAAUCCUUAAAACAAAUCUGGCUAUAUGCGGGAACAUCCCAGUAUCUGAAGAUACUAAUCUUAAAUUCUAAGUUUAGUAAAAAAGCUUCAGUGGGGAAAAUCCGCAGGGAAGUCUUUAAGUAAUUUGGGACCCCUCAGAGAUCACACGCCAGCCCCUUGACAAAUUAAUCAAGGGAGAAGAUAUGAUCCACGCCUUAUGGCGACAUAAGGAAAAACGUGAACUAUAACGGUCCUAAGGUUUUGGAUGGAAUUUCAAAGCCCUUUAUGCUGGCAACGGCAUAUCGAAUCCAACUGUAUCGGUGAAGCCCUUGUAAAAGGGUAAUACCGAGGGAAGUCGUAAAUGACCCCGUAGAGACUACACGUUGGCCCCUCGUACCUUCUUGCGAAAGCAAGAAUGGGGGUGAAGAUAUAGUCCAUACCAAUAGUAAUAUUGGAGAAAUAUGAGCGAAAUUCCUUGUGGGGUAAGUUCCCACGCGCACGAAUGGUGUAACAACUUGGGCGCUGUCUCAACGAGGGACUCGGCGAAAUUGUAGUGGCGGUGAAGAUGCCGUCUACCCGCAUCAAGACGAAAAGACCCCAGAACCUUUACUGCAGCCUGCUAUUGGGUUUUGGUCCAAUAUGUGUAGCAUAGGUGGGAGGCUUUGAUGUCCCGGCGCUAGCCGG